CAAUAGCGUAUAUUAAAGUUGUUGCAGUUAAAAAGCUCGUAGUUGGAUUUCUGGGAGGGUGCCGCCGUCCGGCGUGUCCGUGUGCAGUGGCGCCCUUCCAUCCUUCUGUUAGCGUCUCUUGGCAUUCAUUUGCUGGUGGCGGGCUCAGAUAUUUUACCUUGAGAAAAUUAGAGUGUUUCAGGCAGGCUAGGCCGGAAUACAUUAGCAUGGAAUAAUGGAAUAGGACUACGGUCUCUUUGUUGGUUUGAGGGACUGCAGUAAUGAUUAAUAGGGAUAGUUGGGGGCAUUUGUAUUUAAUUGUCAGAGGUGGAAUUCUCAGAUUUGUUAAAGACUAACUUAUGCGAAAGCAUUUGCCAAGGAUGUUUNCAUUA
Molecule: ribosomal RNA, 371 nt
Filed under: uncultured eukaryote
Lineage: Eukaryota
Description: partial 18S ribosomal RNA
Rfam family: Eukaryotic small subunit ribosomal RNA
Source: RNAcentral